AGGUGGACUAGGUCGGGCAGUUAGGCCCUGCUCACAACCCGCACUAUGGUCUUUAGCGGGGACCGAACCCCGGAUGCGUCCGGACAGACCCGUUCGGGCCCCGGAAGCCGACGUGGAAACCUCGUCCCUCGGGGGCCACGGUUCGCGGCGUCCGCCCGCAGGGGCGUCACGUCGCGAUUCGCCGGCGGCAGUUCGUCAGGCGCGGAAGCGAGCAGCGAACCGCUGGACGAUGGUCGCUCGAGGGGUCGCGGGGCGGAGGAGGCAACCGGGCUUCCCCGGCCGGGAACGCCGGGCAACUCCGGGCGUCCGUUC
Molecule: signal recognition particle RNA, 312 nt
Filed under: Natranaeroarchaeum aerophilus
Lineage: Archaea; Methanobacteriati; Methanobacteriota; Halobacteria; Halobacteriales; Natronoarchaeaceae
Description: signal recognition particle sRNA
Rfam family: Archaeal signal recognition particle RNA
Source: RNAcentral